Molecule: small nucleolar RNA, 185 nt
Organism: Mercurialis annua (annual mercury)
Lineage: Eukaryota; Viridiplantae; Streptophyta; Magnoliopsida; Malpighiales; Euphorbiaceae
Product: small nucleolar RNA Z112
Exons: 1
Source: RefSeq, a predicted model, not a curated record
AUCCCGAUGAGGAAAAAAUCCCCUAAAUAGAUAGGAAGUGCCGUAUGACACUUUACACAGCAGCGCCUACAUUCAAGAACUCUCUCAAUACUUCCGACAACCGAUUAUUUGUUAAUCGGCCGGAUUUAUUAGGUUUUCGCGGUGUUUCCGUUGUGUGGGUGAUUUGAAACGGGUCCCUGAGGGUU